Molecule: long non-coding RNA, 1166 nt
Organism: Esox lucius (northern pike)
Lineage: Eukaryota; Metazoa; Chordata; Actinopteri; Esociformes; Esocidae
Source: Ensembl
AACAGAACAAUGACAAGUCGCACAGAGUUGGUUUCAAUAUUUAUGUUGUAGACAGCACAGCGCAAUAAAACAAGUACUGUAAUAUGCCAAUAUGACAAAGACCGUGACACGCUCCCACUCAACACUCCCAACUGAACACGGUCCCACUCAACACUCCCACCUCAACAUGGCUUCACUCAACACAACUCCACUCCACACUCCCACCUCAAAAUGGUUUCACUCUACACAGAUCCACUCAACAUAUUUUCACUCAACACUCCCAACUCAACAUGUUUUUCAGUCAGCACAUUUUCACUCAACACUACCAACUCAACACAGCUCCAUUCAGCACCACUUAUCACUCCCCAAGCAUUCCCAUUUAUAGGAAGUGUCAUUAAGCUCUCUUCUGUGUGUGUGUGUGUGUGUGUGUGUCAGGUAACUGCAGCAAACCACACACCGUUCAGAUGUAUGCGUGUGUGUGUGGUCAAAUGUUAGUUACAAAGAAAGUACACAACUAACGAAGGCUUGUGGUUUAACAGUUCUUCAAAACAUUGCGGUUCCCGAUUGGUUAACACCACCAGGUGAUUUCACUAACGGCUGAUUGGUGCACAGAGGUUGAAUAAAUAGGACACAAAACGAAGCAGAAUUCAGAUAUGGAGAACAUACCACCUAGUCUUCCCACCAGACAGAAUCUUUCUCUGAAUUAGACUGUCCAAUGUAUGAGUUCUGCUUCUGUGGAUAACACUGUUUCAGUCUCUCUUUGUCCAUUCCUGGUUUCUUCUUGGUUAUUUCCUGGUUGGAUCUUAGUUUACACCCAGUCGGUUGCUCAUUGGUUCCUGGUUCAUUCUUGGUUGGUUCCUGGUUGUAUCCUAAUUCAUGUUGUGUUGACUCCAGGGUGUUAUGGCUGAAUCUUAUGGCUCAAACUUCGCUCCUUUUCUGGUGACGUCCUGUAGAGUUCUGGUGCUGAGAGACCCCUGGGAGGAGUCAGAGUUCUGGUGCUGACCGUCCCCUGGGAGGAGUCAGAGUUCUGGUGCUGACCGUCCCCUGGGAGGAGUCAGAGUUCCCCUUAAGAAACAACAGAGUUCAGAGUUAGUGACCUCUAGUGAAGGAUACGUCUACACAGUCAUGGCCUUCAAAUACCAUUUUGUAUAGAAAUCUCUUGAAAUUAAAAAAUAAUUUGGUAUCCA